Molecule: ribosomal RNA, 464 nt
Filed under: uncultured bacterium
Lineage: Bacteria
Description: partial 16S ribosomal RNA
Rfam family: Bacterial small subunit ribosomal RNA
Source: RNAcentral
GACGAACGCUGGCGGCGUGCUUAACACAUGCAAGUCGAACGGAAAGGCCCCAGCUUGCUGGGGUACUCGAGUGGCGAACGGGUGAGUAACACGUGGGUGAUCUGCCCUGCACUCUGGGAUAAGCCUGGGAAACUGGGUCUAAUACCGGAUAGGACCGUGCUUUAGUGUGUGCGGUGGAAAGCUUUUCGGUGCAGGAUGAGCCCGCGGCCUAUCAGCUUGUGGUGGGGUAAUGGCCUACCAAGGCGGCGACGGGUAGCCGGCCUGAGAGGGUGUACGGCCACAUUGGGACUGAGACACGGCCCAGACUCCUACGGGAGGCAGCAGUGGGGAAUAUUGCACAAUGGGCGCAAGCCUGAUGCAGAGACGCCGCGUGGGGGAUGACGGCCUUCGGGUUGUAAACCCCUUUCGGCAGGGACGAAGCUUUUGUGACGGUACCUGCAUAAGAAGCACCGGCUAACUACGUG